GAGGACCGGAGUGGACGAACCUCUGGUGCACCGGUUGUCACGCCAGUGGCAUGGCCGGGUAGCUAAGUUCGGACGGGAUAACCGCUGAAAGCAUCUAAGCGGGAAGCCUCCCUCAAGAUGAGUUUUCCCAUGAAGCCCGUUGAAGACUACGACGUUGAUAGGCAAGGUGUGGAAGCGCAGUAAUGCGUGAAGCUAACUUGUACUAAUUGGCUGAUUGUCUUGACCAUAUAAUCUGAG
RNAcentral lists this ribosomal RNA (237 nucleotides) under Legionella pneumophila. Its description in RNAcentral is "partial 23S ribosomal RNA". It matches the Rfam family "Bacterial large subunit ribosomal RNA", at positions 2687 to 2925 of the family's 2925-position model. Lineage: Bacteria; Pseudomonadati; Pseudomonadota; Gammaproteobacteria; Legionellales; Legionellaceae. The record is from RNAcentral.